Molecule: ribosomal RNA, 253 nt
Filed under: uncultured bacterium
Lineage: Bacteria
Description: partial 16S ribosomal RNA
Rfam family: Bacterial small subunit ribosomal RNA
Source: RNAcentral
UACGUAGGGGGCAAGCGUUGUCCGGAAUUAUUGGGCGUAAAGCGCGUGUAGGCGGCCAGAUAAGUCCGCUGUGAAAUCUCGAGGCUCAACUUCGAGCUGUCGGUGGAAACUAUCUGGCUAGAGUCCGGAAGAGGAGAAUGGAAUUCCUGGUGUAGCGGUGAAAUGCGCAGAUAUCAGGAAGAACACCCGUGGCGAAGGCGGUUCUCUGGGACGGUACUGACGCUGAGACGCGAAAGCGUGGGGAGCGAACAGG